CCCGGAGGGUGCAAUCGUUAUUCGGAAUCACUGGGCGUAAAGAGCGCGUAGGCGGUCUCUUAAGUCAGAUGUGAAAGCCCGGGGCUUAACCCCGGAAGUGCAUUUGAAACUAAGGGACUUGAGUAUGGGAGAGGGAAGUGGAAUUCCUGGUGUAGCGGUGAAAUGCGUAGAUAUCAGGAGGAACACCGGUGGCGAUGGCGACUUCCUGGACCAAUACUGACGCUGAGGCGCGAAGGCGUGGGGAGAAAACAGG
RNAcentral lists this ribosomal RNA (253 nucleotides) under uncultured bacterium. Its description in RNAcentral is "partial 16S ribosomal RNA". It matches the Rfam family "Bacterial small subunit ribosomal RNA", at positions 524 to 776 of the family's 1533-position model. The record is from RNAcentral.